Molecule: transfer RNA, 72 nt
Filed under: Gemmatimonas sp.
Lineage: Bacteria; Pseudomonadati; Gemmatimonadota; Gemmatimonadia; Gemmatimonadales; Gemmatimonadaceae
Also listed under: 1 other name
Description: tRNA-Gln
Rfam family: tRNA
About the family: Transfer RNA (tRNA) molecules are approximately 80 nucleotides in length. Their secondary structure includes four short double-helical elements and three loops (D, anti-codon, and T loops).
Source: RNAcentral
UGGCCCAUCGUAUAACGGCUAUUACCUCGGCCUUUGGAGCCGAAGAUCUUGGUUCGAUUCCAAGUGGGCCUA